This 902-nucleotide ribosomal RNA is filed under the name Sanguinoderma rugosum. Its description in RNAcentral is "partial 28S ribosomal RNA". It matches the Rfam family "Eukaryotic large subunit ribosomal RNA", at positions 61 to 950 of the family's 3401-position model. Lineage: Eukaryota; Fungi; Basidiomycota; Agaricomycetes; Polyporales; Polyporaceae. The record is from RNAcentral.
GAAACUAACAAGGAUUCCCCUAGUAACUGCGAGUGAAGCGGGAAAAGCUCAAAUUUAAAAUCUGGCGGUCUUUGGCCGUCCGAGUUGUAGUCUGGAGAAGUGCUUUCCGCGCUGGACCGUGUAUAAGUCUCUUGGAACAGAGCGUCAUAGAGGGUGAGAAUCCCGUCUUUGACACGGACUACCAGUGCUUUGUGAUGCGCUCUCAAAGAGUCGAGUUGUUUGGGAAUGCAGCUCAAAAUGGGUGGUGAAUUCCAUCUAAAGCUAAAUAUUGGCGAGAGACCGAUAGCGAACAAGUACCGUGAGGGAAAGAUGAAAAGCACUUUGGAAAGAGAGUUAAACAGUACGUGAAAUUGCUGAAAGGGAAACGCUUGAAGUCAGUCGCGUUGUCUGGGACUCAGCCUUGCUUUUGCUUGGUGCACUUUCCGGAUGACGGGCCAGCAUCGAUUUUGACCGUCGGAAAAGGGCUAGGGUAAUGUGGCACCUCCGGGUGUGUUAUAGACUUUAGUCGCAUACGGCGGUCGGGAUCGAGGAACGCAGCGCGCCGUAAGGCAGGGGUUCGCCCACUUUCGCGCUUAGGAUGCUGGCGUAAUGGCUUUAAACGACCCGUCUUGAAACACGGACCAAGGAGUCUAACAUACCUGCGAGUGUUUGGGUGGAAAACCCGAGCGCGUAAUGAAAGUGAAAGUUGAGACCUCUGUCGUGGAGGGCAUCGACGCCCGGACCUGACGUUCUCUGACGGAUCCGCGGUAGAGCAUGUAUGUUGGGACCCGAAAGAUGGUGAACUAUGCCUGAAUAGGGUGAAGCCAGAGGAAACUCUGGUGGAGGCUCGUAGCGAUUCUGACGUGCAAAUCGAUCGUCAAAUUUGGGUAUAGGGGCGAAAGACUAAUCGAACCAUCUAGUAG